GAUGAACGCUGGCGGCGUGCCUAAUACAUGCAAGUCGAGCGAACGGACGAGAAGCUUGCUUCUCUGAUGUUAGCGGCGGACGGGUGAGUAACACGUGGAUAACCUACCUAUAAGACUGGGAUAACUUCGGGAAACCGGAGCUAAUACCGGAUGAUAUUUUGAACCGCAUGGUUCAAAGGUGAAAGACGGUCUUGCUGUCACUUAUAGAUGGAUCCGCGCUGCAUUAGCUAGUUGGUAAGGUAACGGCUUACCAAGGCAACGAUGCAUAGCCGACCUGAGAGGGUGAUCGGCCACACUGGAACUGAGACACGGUCCAGACUCCUACGGGAGGCAGCAGUAGGGAAUCUUCCGCAAUGGGCGAAAGCCUGACGGAGCAACGCCGCGUGAGUGAUGAAGGUCUUCGGAUCGUAAAACUCUGUUAUUAGGGAAGAACAUAUGUGUAAGUAACUGUGCGCAUCUUGACGGUACCUAAUCAGAAAGCCACGGCUAACUACGUG
This 497-nucleotide ribosomal RNA is filed under the name uncultured bacterium. RNAcentral describes it as "partial 16S ribosomal RNA". It matches the Rfam family "Bacterial small subunit ribosomal RNA", at positions 28 to 507 of the family's 1533-position model. The record is from RNAcentral.